CACAUAAUAUAAAUGGAGAUUGAUAUUUAUUGAUAUUAGGUGGAGGUAAAAUAAAAAGCUAACAUUAGCUAGCCGCCGGGACAAGCUAACUAUUAGCUGACAUUAGCCAACAUGGCGCCACGAACAGACCAAACUUCAGCUCAUCCUUCAACACCGUCAACCCUGACAUCCUCCACCAGAAGAUCAGCCUGCUCAAAGUCCCGGCCUCCACCUGCUCAGCUUCCUGACUGAUCGGCAGCAGCCGGAGCUGCUGGUCAUCAUUCAGGACAGGUCCAGGACUACAGAAAGGAUCAUCAGGGCUGACCUUCCCUUCAUCCAGGACUUGUAGAGGUCUAGGAUCAGGAUAAGGGCACCUAACAUCUCUGCAGAGCUCACAUAAAUUCCUUGUUUGUUCACACAAACUUGGCCAAUAAAGUUGAUUCUGAUACAGUUUUGUGCUUCACCCUCGGAUGCAAAAAGAUGCUCUUUUAAAGAUUUUUUUUUUCUACUUCUUUUUUUAUGAAUGCAGUUAUCUACUUCAGUCUUAACCUCACAUAUCAGAUACCAUGAGUUUUAAACCCUGUGUGUUUUACACUGCGUGUUAUGCUGUUAUGCUCAGGUAUGUGACAAAGUGGUUCAGUUUGUGUUUACCACUUUUCCCUUAUUCUUAUUUCUGAUGUAUUUACUUUCAGUAGCUGGUCAUAAAGCUUAAAUUUAAACAUUAGUUUGCAACUUGGCUUCACUUACUAUCCCGGGUUUGUUUGUGUUAGCAUUAUGUUGCAGUUUCCAUCUAUUUAUAUGUUUGGGUUAAAGAUAUUACAUCUGGACUAUUGGUUGAAUUUGUUUAUUUUGUUUCAAAGUAUAUUCAUGGUAUUUGUUUUCCUUUUUAUUCCCCAUUGUUUGUCAUAGUGUUUCCUGCUUGAAUGGCUGGAUGAUGUCACUGAUUAUCUUGCUGGGCUCUACCAAUUAGAGGGUUUUCUUUGGAGUAUUGCUUUGUUUCUUUGUUUGUUUUUCUUUAAAGUAACUUUUGAGUUAACUUCUAUUACAUGGUAUAUUGUGCAGAUCCUUUCAUUAUGAAGAUGAGUUUGUAAAUUAGAUUAGUAAUUUUGUUUUUCUAGUUUCUCUGUUUAGAUUUUGUUUUUUCCUGUCUAAUUGUGGUUUGGUCCACUCAAGCGCAGGUGUGUUGCCAACUGGCUAUACAAACCAGUGGGUGCUUGGAAGCUAGAAAAAAAGAGUGGUCUGAGUCAAAAGUAGCAAAUAAAAAGUCAACAGAAGAGUCUGAAACCGGGGGCUGAUGCUGUUUUCUUGUUCACCUUGCUGCUCCUUGACAACACUACUUCACAAGGCGAAGGCCUCCAUGUCACCGUUGCGGUAAAUCUUACACAGCCCCAGCUCCUCUGUGGCUCGCAGUAACGUACAGCGUGGCGCAGACAACACGAUGAUGUUACCAGUGGCGUCCUCGCCUGGGUGAGCCAGUAACCCGGCACCUGGAGUCAAACCGUGAAGGAGCUGCUGUAAACCGAGACCGUACCUCCAUCCUUCUGGGGAGCCCCAAUCAGUUUGAUGAGCCAGCGCUUCGUCUCAGGGAUGACCUUCUGUCCGAGCUUCACCACAACCAGCGGCUCGACCUGCUCCGAGACACAGCAGGUGCAGCUGACUUUGGUCCAGCCUGGUGUAAAGGAGUGGGCGGUCAGUUUGCUCGUCGCCUUCCCACUUGCACCUUCCCCACCCAGCUGUUGGGCUGGUUCACCGAGGCCACCAGGGUGUUGGCCCAAUUCACAGUCCCUAACCUGGGGGAGCAUGGUGCAACACCCUCCCUCCACCCACGCCCAGCGACCGGUAUGGCAAAGUUCUACGAGGAGCAACAUGCUACCUGGGAACGCUCUAAGGGUUCCUGAGACUUUAGAGCCAAAACAUCACGAGGUGUGCCGAAGGGAAUCUGCUGAAGAUCCGCCAGUCGCUGUCAGGACGCCCUGCUGUCGAGUCAGAUCGUUCAAUCAUCAACCUCUGCAGGGAUCUGAGGGCUUGAUUAAACAAGCAGCUUCACUCUGAGGUGGGACCAAAAACGCACACAAAAACAUUCUAGCUCAGAGCAGAGGCUGAAGGAAAAACAUGGACUCAAAACUGCUUCUCUUGUGCCGUACCAAAUGCUGAAAAGUUCAAUGUGAAUCUAUUGCUGUAGCCAAGAGAAGCUGCUGUAAGUUUAGAUAUGAUCUGCAGCUUUGUACAUGAAACUUCUUCCUUUUUUAAUUAAAAACACCCUCUAAAUGA
Long non-coding RNA from Girardinichthys multiradiatus, 2250 nucleotides. RefSeq lists it as uncharacterized. The record is from RefSeq and is a predicted model, not a curated record. NCBI's taxonomy places the organism in Eukaryota, Metazoa, Chordata, Actinopteri, Cyprinodontiformes, Goodeidae. The transcript is spliced from 7 exons.